UGGGCGUUCAACACCUUUUUAUGCCAGCACGUAGGAGCUACGUGAUUGGCAGGGAAAGGGUUAACACUAUUAAGCAUGGCUAGUUACAUUAAAUGUAAUGUUUAAUCCCUCAGUACAUUUGUGAAACACUUUAAAUUUCUUUUUAAUUAUAGGUCAAAAAAAGAAACUCAGAAGCUCAGAGAAUUUAAAGAAGGCCUGAAUUUCAUGGCAGUUGCUUAAAGGGAUGUGAUACAGCUGACAUCACUGUUUGUCUACUUUCCCUCCUGAAGCUUCGUACAGGAAUCCUUUCCCAGCCAGACUAUGGAAGAAACCAGAUGAGAAAUAGGAGCGUGAGCUGCUGGAGGCAGAAGCAUCAGAGAGCAAGGAAAAGAAACUAAACUUGGUGAUGUUCCCACUAUUGAUCCUCUGAAAUUCUACACACACCUUUACAAAACCCUCUAUGGGCUCCAUGCAGAUCUUGCUACAGAGCUUUGCCUGCUUUUGCCUGCGUUUUUUUGCUUCGGCGAUGGAUUGGAUUUUACAGUUUUUUUUUAUAGUUUAUUCCAUCUUUACUAAACUAGCGUCAGGGAGAACAAGAACCUACAGAGGGAGGUCCCUUUGGGGUACCCCGGCCUUGUGCCGGCCCCUCGGCCUUACAGCAUCAUUUCAAGCUUCGUUUA
Xenopus tropicalis (tropical clawed frog) is the source of this 659-nucleotide long non-coding RNA. RefSeq lists it as uncharacterized. The transcript has 5 exons. The record is from RefSeq and is a predicted model, not a curated record. NCBI's taxonomy places the organism in Eukaryota, Metazoa, Chordata, Amphibia, Anura, Pipidae.